UACGGAGGGAGCUAGCGUUGUUCGGAAUUACUGGGCGUAAAGCGCGCGUAGGCGGCUUUGUAAGUUAGAGGUGAAAUCCCGGGGCUCAACCCCGGAACUGCCUUUGAUACUGAUAGUCUCGAGUCCGGAAGAGGUGAGUGGAAUUCCGAGUGUAGAGGUGAAAUUCGUAGAUAUUCGGAGGAACACCAGUGGCGAAGGCGGCUCCCUGGUCCGGUACUGACGCUGAGGUGCGAAAGCGUGGGGAGCAAACAGG
This 253-nucleotide ribosomal RNA is filed under the name uncultured bacterium. Its description in RNAcentral is "partial 16S ribosomal RNA". It matches the Rfam family "Bacterial small subunit ribosomal RNA", at positions 524 to 776 of the family's 1533-position model. The record is from RNAcentral.